GGCAAGUCGAACGGUAAGGCCCUUCGGGGUACACGAGUGGCGAACGGGUGAGUAACACGUGGGUGAUCUGCCCUGCACUUCGGGAUAAGCUUGGGAAACUGGGUCUAAUACCGGAUAGGACCACGGUCUGCAUGGAUUGUGGUGGAAAGCUUUUGCGGUGUGGGAUGGGGCCCGCGGCCUAUCAGCUUGUUGGUGGGGUGAUGGCCUACCAAGGCGACGACGGGUAGCCGGCCUGAGAGGGUGUCCGGCCACACUGGGACUGAGAUACGGCCCAGACUCCUACGGGAGGCAGCAGUGGGGAAUAUUGCACAAUGGGCGCAAGCCUGAUGCAGCGACGCCGCGUGGGGGAUGACGGCCUUCGGGUUGUAAACCUCUUUCAGCAGGGACGAAGGGUGACUGACGGUACCUGUAGAAGAAGCACCGGCCAACUACGUG
Molecule: ribosomal RNA, 435 nt
Filed under: uncultured bacterium
Lineage: Bacteria
Description: bacterial SSU rRNA
Rfam family: Bacterial small subunit ribosomal RNA
Source: RNAcentral